AAAGUCGUAACAAGGUAACCGUAGGUGAACCUGCGGUUGGAUCAUUAACAAUCCAUGAGUGUUGGGUCCUUUGGGAUGCCUUCACUCAAACUGGCUUUCGGGCCUUUAACAUCUUGUGAACUGUUUGGUGCUGGUUAGUGUCUUUUGGCACUGGCUGGGAUCUUUUAACCUUGUCUUGUCAGUCUUAAUAAAGAUUUAAUCUUAACAACUUUUGACAACGGAUCUCUAGGCUCUC
RNAcentral lists this unclassified non-coding RNA (235 nucleotides) under Chytridiomycota sp. RNAcentral's name for it is "partial contains small subunit ribosomal RNA, internal transcribed spacer 1, and 5.8S ribosomal RNA". The stretch from base 1 to 47 matches the Rfam family "Eukaryotic small subunit ribosomal RNA", at positions 1785 to 1831 of the family's 1831-position model. Lineage: Eukaryota; Fungi; Chytridiomycota. The record is from RNAcentral.